AUACGGAGGGUCCGAGCGUUAAUCGGAGUUACUGGGCGUAAAGCGUACGUAGGUGGCUUGAUUAGUCGGAUGUGAAAGCCCUGGGCUCAACCUGGGAACUGCAUUCGAUACUGUCUGGCUAGAGUAUAGUAGAGGCAAGUGGAAUUCCGGGUGUAGCGGUGAAAUGCGUAGAUAUCCGGAGGAACACCAGUGGCGAAGGCGGCUUGCUGGACUAAUACUGACACUGAGGUACGAAAGCGUGGGGAGCAAACAGGAUUAGAUACCCCGGUAGUCC
RNAcentral lists this ribosomal RNA (274 nucleotides) under uncultured bacterium. Its description in RNAcentral is "partial 16S ribosomal RNA". It matches the Rfam family "Bacterial small subunit ribosomal RNA", at positions 523 to 796 of the family's 1533-position model. The record is from RNAcentral.